GGAUCCAGACUUUGAUUAUGGCUCAGGAUUAACGCUGGCGGCGCACAUAAGACAUGCAAGUCGAACGGAAGUCGUUAUAACUCAGAACAAAGAUUUAUCUGAGGGACGAGAUAUAACAAUGGCUUUAGUGGCGGACUGGUGAGUAACACGUAAGAAACCUGCCUAUUAGAGGGGAAUAACAACGAGAAAUCGUUGCUAAUACCGCAUAAGCUAGUAGUACCGCAUGGUACAGCUAGAAAAGGAGAAAUCCGCUAAUAGAUGGUCUUGCGUCCGAUUAGCUAGUUGGUGGGGUAACGGCCUACCAAGGCAACGAUCGGUAGCCGAGCUGAGAGGCUCAACGGCCACAUUGGGACUGAGAUACGGCCCAGACUCCUACGGGAGGCAGCAGUCGGGAAUAUUGCGCAAUGGAGGAAACUCUGACGCAGUGACGCCGCGUAUAGGAAGAAGGUUUUCGGAUUGUAAACUAUUUUAGACAGGGAAGAAAUUGACAGUACCUGUAGAAUAAGCUCCGGCUAACUACGUGCCAGCAGCCGCGGUAAUACGUAGGGAGCAAGCGUUAUCCGGAUUUAUUGGGUGUAAAGGGUGCGUAGACGGGAGAACAAGUUAGUUGUGAAAGCCCUCGGCUUAACUGAGGAACUGCAACUAAAACUAUUUUUCUUGAGUGCAGGAGAGGAAAGCGGAAUUCCUAGUGUAGCGGUGAAAUGCGUAGAUAUUAGGAGGAACACCAGUGGCGAARGCGGCUUUCUGGGACUGUAACUGACGUUGAGGCACGAAAGUGUGGGGAGCAAACAGGAUUAGAUACCCUGGUAGUCCACACCGUAAACGAUGGAUACUAGGUGUAGGAGAUGAUU
This 851-nucleotide ribosomal RNA is filed under the name uncultured bacterium. RNAcentral's name for it is "bacterial SSU rRNA". It matches the Rfam family "Bacterial small subunit ribosomal RNA", at positions 1 to 834 of the family's 1533-position model. The record is from RNAcentral.